AUUAACUAAAAGUGGAUCCUAUUGAAAUUUGGGCUCAAAAUUCACCCAUUUCAACCAUUUUUCCAAUACUUCCAUGGCCCACGCUCAAGAGAAAACGGAUAGUGAGGGCUGCUAAUCUUGCCGAUUCUGGACAUUCAAUUUCAACGUCUUCACAUCAACAUUGCAAGGUAAAAGCUUAAUCUCCACAGUUAGGGCAAGUUUACUCAUUCUUUUAAGAGUUAUGUACUGAAUUGAGGAGUUGGGAAAAUUAGGCUUGGUUUUUCUGACUCGAUUGAUGCGGUUUAUGCUUGUAAUUAAACAUGAAUUCGCUCUUCCCUCUUUGAUUUUAUAGGUGUAGACAGGGUGUACGCAAAAAUGACAGAGAAAAGAACGAGUGUUGGAUUUUACUGUAGCUUUUAUUGAUGUAACUGAUAGUAUUUUAAACCCAGCUUUUGCUAUGGAAUAGAAACAUGCUAUUAUUAGUCUCUACAUUGUGUUCUUGUUCUUGAUUCCUUUCCUUGCCUGAUAUUUUCUACCAGUAAAAGCUGUCCACAAUAAAUUCUCAAUGAAAUCUUGAAAUAUGCUUGCAGGUGAAUAAUGCAGGUAUUUGGAAGCCUAAAAACCCACUUAUACUUUACAGGUAUUUAUGUUGGGAAAAAAGGAUGAGAAUUUUGGGAGGGUAUGUUUGUCUUUGUGUAAUAGUUAAAUGUUCAUAAGAGAUUACACAUGUUUAGAACCUUUACAAGAAAGGAAAACAAAAUUGCCUAUUUUAUAAUAAAAUAAUUGGAAUUUGUUUUGUAUCUUUAGGCAAGGGUAUUCACCCCAAGAAUGAGUAAUCCACUGUUUCACGAGAAUAGCAAAAUUACACCUGAAGCACAUGUUAUUAUGCAUUUUAAAGGAUAAACUAAUAGUCCACUACAUUAGGUUUCAAGCUUUAUUUGCUAGUAUUGCUCCUAUCAUCUACUUAAUUGCUAAAAGAGUCCUGUCCUGUGGUAGAUUUUGUUUACUAGGUAUAGGCAGGCCAUCGAAAAUGUGAGCAAUUUUUCAGAAAAUAGUCAUUUUUGUAGACUUUUUUCUUGUAUGGUUGGAAACAUUCAUCACCACCAAAUACAGCAGUAUAAGGAAUCCGUUUGGACAAUGAUUGAUGUCCAAAGAGGAAGGGGAAGAGAUUGAUAAGACUGGUGUUGAGGUUUGUGGCAUUGAUCUGGUCAUGACCUAAGCAGGGGUGUCGAAGGUUAAGGCCGUCAAACGUAGAAAAGGUUUGAUUUGCGCCAAUUUUAGUAUCCUUUAACCUGCAUUAAGGGUGCACUUGUGGCAUUACAAUGAAGUCGACUACCACAAUGAAAGUUAAUUCAAAAUCAUAAGCCACUUCAAUUUUCACAAUGUUACUUAUUGUUGGUUAUUACUUUCUUAAAUGGGUUGUGGUGGACUUGAAAUUUUUGCAGUAGUUCUUAUUGUCUGUGGACUUCAAAAGUGAUUGCAAUUUUGUUGUCUCUUAACUUUACAUUGGAAAAAAAUAAUAUUAACUUAAUCUUACAUAGAGGAUAAUGUUAAGACCAAUAAAGUGAUGUUAAGGGUGCUGAUCCAGUUGCUGGUGCAGAUGACCGUGUUAUUAUUAUUUCAUCUAAUGAGGUACAUGAUCUCCCUCUCUCUUAACUUUAUAUGUAGCGUAGUUCUAGUUAGCGUGUUCUUCCAGCAAUUUGAGUUUCUACAUUUUGUUUAAGGUUUAUGCCUUAAAUUUGAACAUCUUAAGUGUAUACUAAGGAUUAGUGAUGGCAACGGGGCGGGGUAAAUUGCCAUCCCUAAGGAUUAAAGAUGGAGUUUGGCUUUAUGUGUUUUCCAAAAUGUCAUCUAAGCUGUUUCACUUGUAUGUCAUUUUUAGGGUCUUGAUGAUGAGAUGGGUUUACUUCUUUUGAUUCACUGUAUGUCCCCUCAAAUGUUACAAAAGCCUUAAUUACUUAACUAAAAUUAAAAAUCUGCACCUCUUAUCAGUGAUGCUAAUUUUUCUCAUACCAGUAGGCUAAAUCAAGCUUUCAGUUGCAAAAGCUGGAUUUGAGGGUUUUCAGAGGUAUUAACUCGUGAUUUGAAUGAAAUUACUAGAUGGAUAUCUUGUUUGUCAUCUUACUGAAUUCUUGCAAGAUUAAUUAUGAAAGUUUGCUUGUUUUUAAAUUAAAGAAUUUUAGUUUGACUUUUCUUGUUUGUUUUUUCCAUUUUCAAUAAGCAAGUGUCCUAUUUGGCAUCGAAAGAGGAAUUGAAAAAAUAAAGCGACCUGACUUACCAAGACCUGCUGAAGAGGCUCUUGCUCUCGAGGCAGAGGAAGCUAAUCAAGAAGCAUAAUUUCGAUGUACACAAGUUCGUGGAAUUACAGAAGAAAUGCAAAUUACCUGUGCACACGUGUCCCUCUCAAAAAGCAGAUGGGCAUAGUAGAAGAACCAGAGGAUCUUUUACCUGGCCAUUGAAACCAUGUAGUUGCUGCAGCUUCUUCAAUCUUACAUUUUAAAUAUAUUUAGUUUCGGAGUCAACCAAAAGCUCCCAUUUUCUUUGAGGGGGACUCAUAUUUCUUACAAUUUGUAUAUCCUGCAUCUCUUGAGAAGUCUUACUAUUUUUUAUAUAGGGAGUUGUACAAAGAGCCUACUGGAGAUGCAGAAUCUCAAGGAAAAUCAUCAGUGUGGAAAAAUUUGAAGUCUCUUGGAAAUAAUAUCAUUGUUGGCUGGAGGACACUUUUAACUUCUUCUCGAGAAGAUCACUGGAGAUUAGAAGUUCUCCAUUCCAGCAUUGAGGAGGCCGAUGGGUGGUUUUACUCACUACUUAGUUUGUGAUUUUUUUUUAUUUUUUAUUUUAUUUUGGGAAAAUGUAUUGAAUUUUUAGGUGUUUUAGAAUUUUGGAUCUGAAUUUUGUACAGAUAUUGUUACAUUUUGGAGUUCAAUUAAUAAUGAUUAUCGGAGUUAUUUGAUAUAGUUA
Molecule: long non-coding RNA, 2940 nt
Filed under: Olea europaea subsp. europaea
Lineage: Eukaryota; Viridiplantae; Streptophyta; Magnoliopsida; Lamiales; Oleaceae
Source: RNAcentral